RNAcentral lists this transfer RNA (77 nucleotides) under Dreissena polymorpha. RNAcentral's name for it is "tRNA-Arg". The stretch from base 6 to 68 matches the Rfam family "tRNA", at positions 6 to 65 of the family's 71-position model. Rfam says of the family: Transfer RNA (tRNA) molecules are approximately 80 nucleotides in length. Their secondary structure includes four short double-helical elements and three loops (D, anti-codon, and T loops). Further hydrogen bonds mediate the characteristic L-shaped molecular structure. tRNAs have two regions of fundamental functional importance: the anti-codon, which is responsible for specific mRNA codon recognition, and the 3' end, to which the tRNAs corresponding amino acid is attached (by aminoacyl-tRNA synthetases). tRNAs cope with the degeneracy of the genetic code in two manners: having more than one tRNA (with a specific anti-codon) for a particular amino acid; and 'wobble' base-pairing, i.e. permitting non-standard base-pairing at the 3rd anti-codon position. The record is from RNAcentral. Lineage: Eukaryota; Metazoa; Mollusca; Bivalvia; Myida; Dreissenidae.
AUAAAUGUGGACUAAUAGACUCGGACACCGGCCUCCUAAGCCGGGGAUUGCGGGUUCGAGUCCCGCCGGAGGUUAUA